CUCAUCCGAUACUUAUUUGUUCAAGGCCCUAGGACAAUAUUCCUGUAAUGGGCUGCUUUUGCCCUGAUUUCCUCCUCAGAGUAACUGUCUCGCGGUUGGGCACGAUCCCAGAUCACAUCUACAGUGGAGGUGGUUUUGCUGGGGAGGAUCCGCAUGCUUGUUUGUGUUUAUGCCUGGGGAACCCCCUCUUGGCAAGAUGUUCGGGAGAGGCUCCAAAGGCAGCACAGAGGACGGCUUGGAACUUAGGGGGAUUCACUUUAUGGUAAAGAAGCCCUUUCUAAAGGAGAGCUCCACCCAGGAAACACCACCCACCCACGCAUCCUUGCCUCCUAAAACCAGGUUAUGUUUAUCACAUACCUUCUAUGUGCUUUACAUAAAGAAUCCCCUGGAAUUCUCCAAACUGGGCAUUGUGGUCUGUGAUGCAUAUCUCAAAAGAGGUGAGAGGGUUGGGCACGGUGGCUCACGCCUGUAAUCCCAGCACUUUGGGAAGCCAAGGCAGGUGGAUCACUUGAGGUCAGAAGCUCAAGACCAGCCUGGCUCACAUGGUGAAACGCCGUCUCAACUAAAAAUACAAAAAUUAGCCGGGCAUGAUGGCGGGCGCCUGUAAUCCCAGCUACUCGGGAGGCUGAGGCAGGAGAAUCGCUUGAACCCAGGAGGUGGAGGUUGCUGUGAGCCAAGAUUGCACCACUGCACUCCAGCCUGGGUGACAGAGUGAGACUCUGUCUCAAAAAACAAAAAAAAGAAAAAAAAAGGUAGAGGAGAGUCCUUUUUCUAACUUUCUUGAACUCUUUGGACUACCUUGGGAUCCUUCUAUUAACUGCCUUGUUGGCAUUAUUCUCAGUUUAUGAAAAAACAGGCCCACAGAGUGGAAGUAAUUUGCCUACAGGUACAUCUAAAAAUUGAUGAAGCCAGAUAGGAACUGCUCCCUCAUCAUCUGAAACCCUUCCCAGAGCUGUCUCUCCCACCCCAGAAGUAGAAAGAAGCCAGACAAAGAUGCAUCUUGAUCUCCCUUGUGGUUUCAGCAAGGAAGCAGAUGAGUUGGAGAUGAAGCCCCCAGCCCCUGGGAAAUUGGACCCACUUCUUGCUCCAAAGGCUAUUGGGGUGACACAAGGUGUGUUUCUUUCCCGUAGAUCAUAUUCACCAUAUUUUGCCUUUAAAUGGAAAUUGUGCAUCCUGAAGUACCUUGUUAAGAGUCCAUUUUCAACCUGAAAUUCCUUUUUUUUGUAAACCACUUCAGCAAAUACAGUGUGGCAUUUACAUUAGCAACCUCCCAGCCUAGGAGAGGAUGCUCCAGCAUCCGACUCUAAAAGACAAAUUUGGGCACGGUGGCUUGACGCCUGUUAUCCCAACACCUUGAGAGGCCGAGGCAGGCAGAUUGCUUGAGCCCAGGAGUUCAAGACCAGCCCAGGUAACAUGGUGAACCCCCAUCUCUACCAAUAAUACAAAAAUUAGCCAGGCAUGGUGGUGUGCCAGUGGUCCCAGCUACUUGAGUGGCUGAGGUGAAGGAUCUCCUGAGCCUGGGAGGCAGAGGUUGCAGUGAGCCGAGAUCGAACCACUGCACUCCAGCUUAUGCAACAGAGCAAGACCGUGUCUCAAAAACAAAUAAAAAUAAAAGAUUUUAAAAAGACAAAUUAUCCCACAAAUGGUACAUUGUGGUGGUGGUGGUGGUGGUGGUGGUAGACCUCCCUCUUGCUCUUGAAAUUGGAUCAGAACAAACUGACAAUGCUACCUACUUCAUGGGGUCAUUGGUGAAUUCACUGAUAAUGCAUGCAAAUCCCCUUCUGCCUGGCACACUACCUAAUAAAUAAAUGGUGGUUGUUAUUGUUGGAAUUGGAGGAUAUAUUCCUAGUUGCAAGGGUUUCACAUGUAUUACCAAGUUAAUCCUCACCGCAGAUAUGAUUCUGUUUUACAGAGGAAGCAGUGGAUGCUCAGAGAGGUUAGGUAACGUGGGUCAGGGACACACAGCCAGGAAGGGGCAGAGGCUGGGAGUGCCUGACUCCAAAUUCAUGCAAUUUCUACCCCACCAUCUUCUCCCCAAGGAAAAUAGUCCCUAAUGCAUGUGUGCAAUGCUUAGAGGGCAGUAGAUGCUCAACAGAUGCUGAGAGAGUGAGGGAGUAAAUGAGAUAUGCCAUGAAAAGGAGCCCCUGUGGACUUAUGCGUGCGUUUGUUUAACUUGUGGGCAAGUACUUAUAGACAGGUGCAAACAAUAAAUCUCCUUUUGCAACUG
Molecule: long non-coding RNA, 2227 nt
Filed under: Homo sapiens (human)
Lineage: Eukaryota; Metazoa; Chordata; Mammalia; Primates; Hominidae
Description: non-protein coding lnc-SSH1-1:1
Source: RNAcentral